RNAcentral lists this long non-coding RNA (6999 nucleotides) under Panax ginseng (ginseng). RNAcentral's name for it is "long non-coding RNA (PGIN_LNC000556)". Lineage: Eukaryota; Viridiplantae; Streptophyta; Magnoliopsida; Apiales; Araliaceae. The record is from RNAcentral.
GCUUCAUUAGCUAGCCACAUUUAGUGAGAGAUAAAGGGUAGGAGAGAGAGAAGGAGCUGAAUCUUCUUGUUUGUUACUUGGUGAGUUCUUGGCCUUUUCCCUUCUCUUUCAAAUUUGAUAUUUUUUUUUCUUUAUGUGGGUAUAUAUGAAUGCAGAAAAAUACUGUUUUUACCAUUUGGGUACUUUUCAGUUCAUUCUGUAUUAUAUAUGUGUAUUAUGUAUGUUUCUAUUAUUUCUUUGAAUGAUAUUGUAUGGUUUUGCUAGACAUUUGACUUUGAAUUCAUGGGGUAGAAUCUACUUUACCAUUUCAUGCUUCUAGGGGUUUAAUUUUUUAUUUUUAUCCUGUUCCGGGAUGAAUUUUCUUGAUGUUUUAUUAGAUUGUGCAAUAUAGGGAGCUGAUUUGUUUAAUUUGGUGUAAUUAACGCUGUUACCCCCAUAUGUUUCUAUUUAAAUGAUGAUACUAAUGGAGUGGAAAGAAAAUGAUUUAUGAUGGGUACUUCUUUGAUGUGUUGUGCAAAAAUUACAAAUUUUAGGAUAUUGAUUUAGAUUGUUUAGAAGCCAAGUGGGUAGGGAAGCCAGUAUUAAAUAAUGAGCAAGACCUGAAUUAUUUAUUGAAUCUAAGAUGAAUCAGUAUUAGCCAUAGGAGAACAUAGUUCUGGUUAUUGCUUUCUGCUCACUUUAUUUAUUAUAUGUUGAGAUUAAUAGUUCAAAAUAAUAUGGGAGAAUAUAAUUGCCAUGUUUAACCCUAGGUUGGUCUACCAUGAUAUAAGUAGCUAUGUGUACUUGCUUAGAGGAAGACCUUUAUUUAGAACAUCCUCUGACUAUUUUAGGAUUCUAAACAUAGUAAGAGAAUUGUUGUUAUCUAAUUUAUUGUUUAAGAAGUCUGGACAAAUGUUAAAACAACUUUCAGACACGUCAUCAUUGUCCAUAGAGCUGCACGUUGGUCCCAUCAAAAUUGACAGUUUCUUGUGUUGUGUUGGGCCUGCAGAACAUUAGGGCAAGGCAUUAGGAGUGUCGAAUCUUCAUUAAGACUUUGGAGCUUGCUGCUAGACUGAAGUAAUGGAGGUAUAUGGAAAAUCUAUGGUUGCGGUGCCUACAAAUGUUAUUUAUCUGUCAAGUAUUCUAGGCCAAGAUGGGCCACACUCUGUUCACAAAUGCGACUGGAAAUGUGAAAACGAACAUGUGUGUGGAAACGUGUAUUGCUGCAGACUAACUGGACUCACUCACAUCUGUGACAAAAACUGUAACCAGAGAAUACUGUAUGAUAACCAUAGCUCCCUUUGCAGAGUGAGCAGGCAGGUUUUCCCUCUAACUCCGGCGGAGGAACAGGCUGUGAAAGGUGCCCAUAGGAAGCUUGAUGAUGAGAGUUCCCCUUCUGAUAUUUGCACUUUUAAGCGCAGACGGAGUGCGCAAUUUCAUCCCUCUCCUUUUGAGAGAUCCUUCUCUGCUGUUGGUCCAAUCUGCAGUCAAAUUGGAGAUGGCAUGGAUAUUAGCUAGACAUAAAAUUAACAUCGACAAACUCCUAUCCUCUUUCUUCUUUUUUCUUUCUUCUUUCUGAAUAUCUCUUUUUUCGGAAAGUAUGGAUAUUUGAACUUCAUUUGGGUACUUAAAUGGCGGAUGUGAUUGUCCUGCUCAUCUGUAGGAACAACUUAUAUUUGAAUCAGGAAUGUAUUGUAGAGCUUCAAAUACCAAACUAUCCGUAGGAGUUUGACAAUGGUAUAUUAAUAUUAUCUUCUAUUAUGUAGUCUGAGUUGCAUUCGAGCAGCUACAAAAUCUGAACUAUGAUAAUUACAGGGUGCUUUAGGUGUCUUGAUAGUUUCAGGGUUUGACCACUUGUUUGUGUUUUCAACUUUGUCGAACCACUGCAUUUGAUGAAUUGUUUUGACACUAGUUUAUUAUUUUAGAUAUAGUUUUUCCUUUAAAUUUGUUCAUUCAUUAUUUACUUCAUCUCCAUCUCAAUGGCAUAAUAGUUUUUAAUUGUGUUGUUGGCUCAUGCUUCAUUGGAUUUAGUUAGUUCAAAUGAUGAUCAUAACAUCUAGGAUAGGGUAGAAACUUUGUUCUCUUUAUUUUAUCUUGCCUGACUUUCCUACUGUUUUCCAGGUUUGAGAAGGACAAACCAGUUCAUCUUCUAUUUUUUGUUUUUAUCUUUUUUUUUUGUAUUUGUUUUUUCUCAAUCUUAUCUGGCUGCUCUAACAUUUGGUUCCUGAAAAUUAAUGUCAUUUUGCGGGGGUUGAUGUGCCACUCAGGAGAGCUGAAAAUAGCUUAUUGCAUUAAAAAUUAAUUAUUAUAUUCUGAAAGCUUAUUGGAAGCAUGAACUUUCUGACAAUUUUGAUCCUCUUUUUUUGCAGAACAUAUUUGGAUCUCCUUUGUUUUGCUGUGCAGACAUGGGACUCACCUUAUGAUGAUGAACAUUGGGAAAAUUGCACCAGCUGCAUAUUUUUUUCAGUUAAUGGCCUUUUUGAGUUUGUUUCAUAGCAUCUUUUCUGUGCCUGUUGAGCAAUGAGGAGAAACUAUAAUGCACAAACAGUUCCUUUCACCCUUUUUAUAAUUGUGUUAUUUCGUCCAGCUGUCACUGAUCUUAUGCAUUAAGUUUAAGCAGCACUUCCCUGUGCAUUAAUGCUAUUUAACUGCCUGAAUCGUGGUUACUGCUGCCAACUCAAUUUGGGUAACAGUUGCAGUGGUUCAGUGAAGGCGAGAACCCUUAUUAUUUCUGAUUCAAAUUUCUCAAGAGGAAAAGGUCACUAAAUUUAGUUUCCACCUUCAAUUUUAUCUUUCGCCAUGGCUGUUGGACAUCUUUGAAUAACAACAGAUUACAAGAACCUGCUCAAAUUUGUUACCUAAUACAGAUAUAUGGCUGGCUGCUUCAUGCCGUAAUCUGGUUCAGAGUUACUAUGCAGGUCUUUCAUCUAACACAAAUUAUCUGUGAGAAGUAUAUAGGGUCUUUCAUCUUUCUAAAGCAAUGAGCAUUACGAUUAGUGUAUUCUUCUGCCUUAGGUGGCACUUAAUGGAUAAAGCAGUAUAGACGAGUUCAGUUCGGGCUAAUCACAAUGUUGGUAUGAUCUAUUUAUACAUGUUCUGCAUUAUCAGAUUCUUAAUUGUAAUUAUGUUCUAAUUUUGAAUUGAACGAGGGUUUAUUGGUCUAGCUUUUCUAUCCAGCUUAAACAUUCUUCAAUAUGUACUUUAGCAUAUGACAUUAUUCUCAACUUUUGGAGCUAUAUAGCAAUGGAAAGAUGAAUGUUUUUGUGAAUAAUACUGCCAAAUAAAUCUUCAUUGGAUGAAUUUUCUCCUUGCUGAGAGAGGAAAUGAUUAUCUUUGUUGGAAGAGUCUGAGAUGAUUUGUAUGUCUUUUUGAAAUUGAAUUUAUGUUGUGAGUUGUGACUAUCUGGCUAGAUCUUGAUUAAACACCUCUAGCUCAAAGACGUUUUCAGACCAGACUUAUAACGUACUGCACCAACUUAGCAGCUUAUGGGACUUGUUCUAGUUGAAGUUAGGCGUGAUGUGCUUAGAUUUGUUGUUUAGUGAUUUGAUUUCAGAGAGGGAAUUGAUAUUUCCACAAGUAAAAGUUAGAGUUCCACAAGCUCCCUCUCACAUUAAAUGGGUCCCAUACUCGUGCGAUGGAAAUAUCAAAUUUUACUUGUGAAAAACAGUUCCCUUUAGAGAUUUUUCCUAUUAUUGAUUACAUAUUUAGGAAUUGUUUGACUUGUCAAAAAGAAGGAUUUUUUGAUGAAAAUAGUUGAAACUUACCUAUCAUGUAGUUUCGUUGUUGACUUAUAGCAACUUCUAUGCAACUGUUCCCUUGUCAAACUGCCAAAGUUCCAAGAUAUGAUGAUUGUUAAAAGGUAAUGGAGUUGUUGGCUUCUAACAACUCUCAAAACUUGAGGCAUUUUUGGAUGGUGGACAGAAUGGUUUAUUCUUUAUUCAACUCUAUUUCUUUUCUUUGAGUUGUAUCUUUUGCUGUUGUCAGUUUCUAAAUUUAAUUUCAGAAUCUUUGGGGCACCUUUAUAAUGACUACUUGCAUUAAAUAUUAUAUGGCAUGACCAGAUUCAAGUUGAUAUGUUGGUAGGAGCCUCCCUAACGAUUAUCUCAGUGCUUGUCUCUGCUUAGUUUGCGUGGACAAAAUCCUCCAUGAAUUAAUUUCCAAAGAAAGGAAUUGCUUCUCGGUGAUUCCAUCCCCAAUCUUAUAAUAAAGAAAUCCGAAACCCAAAAGUCUGAUCUUGCGGCUGAUUGAUUUAACAAAACUAGGUACCUCUUUGUAUCCUCGAUUAAUCUUUUCAUAUAUAUGUGAGUGUGUGCGCGCGCACUUAACUUCUGUGAUGAGGGGAAUUGGGUCCCUAAUUAAGAUUGCAAUUAAUCAGAUGCUCAAACCAUGUAAAAUAACUCAGCUGAUUAGUUGAUAAAUUUUUCAAUUUUUUGACUGGGUCUUUGCCCUCCAGUUCCAGAUAUAUAAACACUUUUGAAGAAUCAACAAACUUAUGUCGACCUUAAUCCCAAAGCCAUGGCUUCUCUCCAGCAAGCCCAGGUUUACGUCCUUUCCAAUUCCUUUUAUAUGUUACAAAAAUAUCCUCUUUGGCUCAUACAUGUAGUACAAUUAAUUACAUGUUACAAAAACUAUUGAAGGUAACAAAAGAAUUGGGAUUGGCAAUAGAGAAACUAAACAAUGUUCUUGCCCUUAUAGCAAAUGUUGGAAUCGAAAAUUUUUGAUCAGUCUAAAUGUUAGCUUCAGAUUCGUAAACUCACUAGCAACAUGACAUAUAGUCAAUAUUGAAUAACACAACAUGAGUAAAUAAUCAUAUAUAUGCUUGAACAAAGAUCGUUUCUUGAAAACUUGAGAUUUAUCUUUGGUAAAUGCAGUUUAACUUUUUGAAUUCACUGGUGGUAAAUUGACGGUUUUUUAAUUAGAGGUGGUUAAGUAUAAAAAAAUGCAAACCAUAUAAUUAGUGCUAUGUUACAAUUAAUAUGUGAUAUGUGUGUUUAGCUUAAACACUGGUUGCGCCUUAUAAUUGACUUGAAUUGGUGAAAUUGUGUCUUUUGAUUGUUUACCAAAGCUUUUUGGGAUAUUAGAUUCUUUCUGUUACGUACCAAGUGCUUUUCAUCUGUAAUAGAUUUUGAACUAGGAACUUUUGCUUUUACUGCUUAAAGUUGUGGAUUUAUGAUGAUGAUGAUGAUGAUAUAUAGACGAAUAAAGCCAUAAAAGUGGAAGUUCUCUCAUUCCAAUUAUAAGGUGCCAAAUUGUGCUAUUAAAUGCAUUCUUUCAACUGUAUAUUCGUGGAGAAUUUUCACUCUUUUGUAACAGGCGGUUUAAUAUCUUGCAGGGGGUCCUUUGGUACAAGACCGCAAUUUAAAUAUUAUUCUAGGACGUUUUAAUAUUGGCCUAUCCUUAAUUCUUUUACAUGUGCACUAGUCUAAGAUUAUGAAUUUAUCAUUGCAGUAUGUUUUUCAUUGGUGAGUGGAUUGGGUGGUCCUAAUCACUCUGGAAAGUUAGGACCUGCCCUACCUGACUAGGUAUGUGCAUACCCACAUAUUACUGAACAGAACAUGUUAUUAUCAAUGUGUUACUGUACUUGUAGUUUCACUUCUAUGAUUUCUAUAGCACUAAUUUGGGUUUUGGUGCCUGACUUUGAAGAACUUAGAUUCCUACUAACAGAAUCCAAGUUUAGAAAAGAACCAUGCAUAAAGAAAAAUAGUUAUCUAUUACAUGUGUCCAAAUUAUAAAGACUGGAUUUUGGAGUUGCAUUCUAUGACACUUGAUGGAACGUAUAAUUAGAUGAAUACAUCUGUGCACCAUUCAUCUGCUUUAUGUCAUUCUUCAAGUAGUCGGAAUUGUUAAGCUGAAUCUGUAACUAUGUUCUUGUGAAUACUUCUGGUUCUUAAAUUACUUUCCGUGCGUUGAUGCAGCUACUGUGUAAGAAUUCCCAGCCCCAAGCUGAGGAUGAGCACUAUAAGAAAACUAGAAGCAUGUUGGUAAGCCUUGGCCUCCAAAAUUACAAGAAGGAUUUCAAGAAGGGCUUGUUAACAGACGAUACUUUACCUUUGCUUACUGAUAGGCAAGCUGUUGAACUUGACUCAUUUCCUUUGGAUGUUCUCCAUAAUUUUCUAUUGUGUUUUCUUGUAUUCUCAUUGCCUGUCAUUUGCUUCAAAUUAGUGUUCUUCGAUAUGUUAGAAUACCUCCCGGACCAAGGCUCCUCAUUCUUGAUCACAUAAAGAGGUCUGACCCCUAGGCCAAUCUCAUGUCAGUAUUUAACUACAGCAUCCCGUUGAGAUUGAAUUUCUGUCUGAAGCUAAGCUCAAAGAAAGGUGAUGCGGCAUUAGUUGAAGUGCUGACAUUUGACUGGUCUGUUUCCAAAGGAGAUUUUAUUUUAUAAGUUAAAUAUUAAUUAAUCUGCUCUAUAUAGCGAGAAGGGAAAUUUUGUCAGUUUCUCUUUUACUGGAGUUCUUAUCAGUGUAACUGGUUACAAACUCAGUAGACAGCUCAGUUAUAGUUCUAAUAUCUUCAUACUCUUUCGUUUUUUUGGUUGUCAAUAUUCAUCUCAGUAGUUUUGAUUGCCAUGCAACAAAUAAAUGGUGAAUUAUAUGGAAGUAAAAAUGCCUUAAAUGUUGUGUACUUGUCAAUUCUUUGUUUUCAGAGAACGAGAAACAGGAAUUAAAUGAGCAUGCAUAAGGUUUGGCAGUUCGAUUGGGCACGAGUUCAGACGUUUAUUGAAAACCCUGAUUCUAUGGGGGUUUAAUUGAGAUGGUAAAGGGAUUGGGAUUAUGAGGAUUAGAUGUAGAAUGGGUUAGGGGUGGAGAGGUAUGAUAAGGUUUGGCAGUUCGAUUGACAGAGGGAAUGAAGAAGAAGCAAGUGACUGAAAUCCUUGUUUUAAGUUUAACCCAGCCGAUCGUGUGGCUUCAUCCCCCUCCGUGUUUUGUUAAUAAUUUUUUAAAGGGUUAGAUUUAUUUCAACUUUGGACGGUCCGGAUCUUUUAAUAGGCUGAGAGCGGGAAAUUAAUUUUUUUCAAAAAAA